This 2057-nucleotide unclassified non-coding RNA is filed under the name Hevea brasiliensis (rubber tree). Lineage: Eukaryota; Viridiplantae; Streptophyta; Magnoliopsida; Malpighiales; Euphorbiaceae. The record is from RNAcentral.
CACCGGAACAGUAGAAUGUACGGAAUUGCUACAGUGAGAGUGUUACAGUGGUUCUACUAAAAUCAUCAACUAAAGUUAAAAAAUAUCUGGCACGAUAAUGAGAAACAAUAUGGUAAGGUCCCCAGAGAUCCACAUGCACCAAUUCAAACACAUCCUUAGUUGUAAUACGACUAGAAGGAAAAGGCAAUAUUUUUUGUUUAGAAAUGGGACAAAUUUCACAAGCUAAAAAAUUGUCAUUACAAUUGUCAAGGUUUACAAUUCUCAUAAUGGCAUUUUCUAGGUGCAUGUCCUAAUCAAGCAUGCCGCAGUGACAUAUCCACUGCUUUAUGUAGACUAGCUACACUUCAUGUGUCCUUGAGUGUCACACCUAAAGGUAAUGAAGAUAUACUACUGCAUCUAUGUCUUCGGUUAAAGGAUGUAGAGUCAAAUCUAUAGAGCCCUACUUGUACUUUUCCAAUAGCUAUAAAUUUCUCAGUCAAGAGGUCCUAUAGGAGAAAACGGGUGGAGAAGAAAGAAAAAUCAUAUGUGAGUCUUGAAAAAGUUUUAGAACUGAUAAAAGGUUGUAUUUAAAGUGAGGCACAUACAAAACAUUUGUUAAUUUGAGGUUAGGACUUAGUAUGACACUACCAGUAUAAGUUAUAGAACCAUUAGGAAGAUAUAUUGUAUUAGAAUGAUUUUUGGGUUAAUGGUUGACUAAAAGUUUAAAAUUAAAGCACAUUCAGGCAGUAGCUCUUGUGUCCAUAAUCCACGUUCCUAUUUCAUCACUAUGCAUGCUAGACAAACACAAAUAAGAAAAAUUACCUGCAAAAUUUGAGUAAUUGGCACUAUUUAGCUCAGAAGUACCUACAACUGCUAUGUUCUUCCCUUUUAUAUACCUCAGAAUUUCUUGUUGAAUCACAUUUAUCAAUAAGGCAUUCCAGUUAUAAGUUGCAUUUUCUGAGAGUGAUAGCAGAUCAUUAGCCAUCAUUUCAUUAUUGUGUGUCAUAGCAUAUGCCUAAGGUUUAGAUUUCUUAUGCUUUAACUCCUUAUACCAAUCAGGAUAGCCAUGGAGCUUAAAGUAACUUUCCCUCACAUAACUUAUUGUAUUGCAAUGAUUACAAUACCUAACCUCCUUUUUAACAAAAUUUUUCUUGCCUUCAUAAGGUUUUGCUCCACCCUUAUUGUUGUCAUUCGUCUUAAGAUUCUGUGUAUUAGCCAGCAUAGUAGAAGCUUCUGUUACAUUAGUCAAAGAAUGCACCUCUCAUUGCCUUUCAAUCGUAAGCACCAGGGAGUUUGCUUUGCUUACAACAGGUAAAGUUUCUAAUAUUAGAAUUUGAUUCCUCACCAUUAAAAAAUGCGUCAAUUUGUCAUUAUCAUCCAUGUUCAUCAUAGCCUUAGAAGCUCCACAUGUACACACAGGAAAUACCUUUAGGCAAGAACGUUCAUCCCAUAACUUCUUCAGUUUAGUAAAAUAAGCCAUUAAAGAUAUAUUUCCCUAAGAAAAUGAACUAAUUUCUCUCUUGAUCUGAUACAGUGAGGGGCCAUUACAUUCACCAAAAUGUUACUCAAACUCAAGCCAUAGAUUCCUAGCAGGAGCAACAUAAAGAAAGGCCUCAGCCAAUUCUUCUCACAUAGAGUUCAAAAUCCACGAGAUUACCAUACUAUCUACCUUUUGCCACUAUUCAUACUUAUCAAAAUUCACAUUAGGUGCAUGAAUCUUUCCAUUUAUAAAACCUAAUUUCUCUUUAGCACGAAAUGUAAUCACCAUUGAUCUAUUCCAAGAUAGGUAAUUUAGUCUAGUCAAAGGAGUACUUACGAGGAUCAUUCCAAGAUGAACCUGUAGAUGAUACAAAUAGCAUCCUCCAUGAAUAACUUGCCUUAACAUCUCCCGAGUUUCAAAAGAUUCCUCCAUUUUUUAUUUGCAACUUUGAUUCACAAGUUAAAUCUCAAAACUAUAAGAAUUAUGAUUCAAUCUAGCUUAGGAUUGAAUCAAUAAGUGAAAACUACUCAGAUCUGAGAGAUCGACUUGCUCUGAUACCAUGAAACUAAAAGUAAUUAAGAAAAGAAACUGAGUAAAU